This 78-nucleotide transfer RNA is filed under the name Ardenticatenia bacterium. RNAcentral describes it as "tRNA-Pro". It matches the Rfam family "tRNA". Rfam says of the family: Transfer RNA (tRNA) molecules are approximately 80 nucleotides in length. Their secondary structure includes four short double-helical elements and three loops (D, anti-codon, and T loops). Lineage: Bacteria; Bacillati; Chloroflexota; Ardenticatenia. The record is from RNAcentral.
CGGGGCGUAGCGCAGUCCGGUUAGCGCGCGUCGUUCGGGACGACGAGGUCGGAGGUUCAAAUCCUCUCGCCCCGACCA